RNAcentral lists this ribosomal RNA (122 nucleotides) under Petromyzon marinus (sea lamprey). The record is from RNAcentral. Lineage: Eukaryota; Metazoa; Chordata; Hyperoartia; Petromyzontiformes; Petromyzontidae.
GCCGAUGACCAAACCAUCUGGAAACAUGCCCAGCCUCAUCAGAUCUCAGAAACGAGGGCAGAGCUGAACCCGGAUAGUGCUUGGAUGGGUGAUCACCGUGCAUAAACAGGUGUUUGUAGGCU